GGAAUUUUGCGCAAUGGGGGAAACCCUGACGCAGCAAUACCGCGUGUGGGAUGAAGGCCUUCGGGUCGUAAACCACUUUUUUCGGGGACGAUAAUGACGGUACCCGAAGAAUAAGCCACGGCUAACUACGUGCCAGCAGCCGCGGUAAUACGUAGGUGGCAAGCGUUGUCCGGAUUUACUGGGCGUAAAGCGCGCGCAGGCGGUGAAUGAAGUCGAAAGUGAAAGCCCCGGGCUCAACUCGGGAACUGCUUUCGAAACCAGUUCACUUGAAGGCGGAAGAGGGAAGUGGAAUUCCGAGUGUAGUGGUGGAGUGCGUAGAUAUUCGGAAGAACACCAGAGGCGAAGGCGACUUCCUGGUCCGAUCUUGACGCUGAGGCGCGAAAGCUAGGGGAGCAAACGGGAUUAGAUACCCCGGUAGUCCUAGCUGUAAACGAUGGAUACUAGGUGUUGGAGGUUUUAACCCCUCCGGUGCCGCAGCUAACGCAUUAAGUAUCCCGCCUGGGGAGUACGGCCGCAAGGCUAAUACUCAAAGGAAUUGACGG
Molecule: ribosomal RNA, 542 nt
Filed under: uncultured bacterium
Lineage: Bacteria
Description: bacterial SSU rRNA
Rfam family: Bacterial small subunit ribosomal RNA
Source: RNAcentral